This 396-nucleotide ribosomal RNA is filed under the name uncultured bacterium. RNAcentral's name for it is "partial 16S ribosomal RNA". It matches the Rfam family "Bacterial small subunit ribosomal RNA", at positions 523 to 917 of the family's 1533-position model. The record is from RNAcentral.
AUACGUAGGGGGCGAGCGUUGUCCGGAAUGAUUGGGCGUAAAGGGCGCGUAGGCGGCCCGGUAAGUCUGGAGUGAAAGUCCUGCUUUUAAGGUGGGAAUUGCUUUGGAUACUGUCGGGCUUGAGUGCAGGAGAGGUAAGUGGAAUUCCCAGUGUAGCGGUGAAAUGCGUAGAGAUUGGGAGGAACACCAGUGGCGAAGGCGACUUACUGGACUGUAACUGACGCUGAGGCGCGAAAGUGUGGGGAGCAAACAGGAUUAGAUACCCUGGUAGUCCACACUGUAAACGAUGAAUGCUAGGUGUAGGGGGUAUCGACCCCUUCUGUGCCGCAGUUAACACAAUAAGCAUUCCGCCUGGGGAGUACGGCCGCAAGGUUGAAACUCAAAUGAAUUGACGGG